GAACGCUGGCGGCGUGCCUAAUACAUGCAAGUCGAGCGAACAGAUAAGGAGCUUGCUCCUUUGACGUUAGCGGCGGACGGGUGAGUAACACGUGGAUAACCUACCUAUAAGACUGGGAUAACUUCGGGAAACCGGAGCUAAUACCGGAUAAGAUUUUGAACCGCAUGGUUCAAUAGUGAAAGACGGCCUUGCUGUCACUUAUAGAUGGAUCCGCGCCGUAUUAGCUAGUUGGUAAGGUAACGGCUUACCAAGGCAACGAUACGUAGCCGACCUGAGAGGGUGAUCGGCCACACUGGAACUGAGACACGGUC
RNAcentral lists this ribosomal RNA (311 nucleotides) under uncultured Staphylococcus sp. Its description in RNAcentral is "bacterial SSU rRNA". It matches the Rfam family "Bacterial small subunit ribosomal RNA", at positions 31 to 331 of the family's 1533-position model. Lineage: Bacteria; Bacillati; Bacillota; Bacilli; Caryophanales; Staphylococcaceae. The record is from RNAcentral.